AUGGACCCAGCUGGGGAUGGCCUCGGUGGUGACCUGUGUGUGCAGGAGCCCUGCACGGGGCUGUGCCCGAGGAGCUGCACCCACCAAGGCUUUCCUGAGCUGCUGCUGCAUCGUCCUGGCUGUGCUCAGUGGUGUACACUCUGCUCAGUGGUGUACACUGUGCUCAGUGGUGUACACUGUGCUCAGCGAUUUACACUGUGCUCAGUGAUUUACACUGUGCUCAGUAACCUACACUGUGCUCAGUGAUGUAC
RNAcentral lists this long non-coding RNA (251 nucleotides) under Ficedula albicollis (Collared flycatcher). RNAcentral's name for it is "lncRNA (ENSFALG00000028024.1)". Lineage: Eukaryota; Metazoa; Chordata; Aves; Passeriformes; Muscicapidae. The record is from RNAcentral.